UCCCGACUAGUUCUGUUGGUUGAGCAUGAGACUCAUAAUCUCAGGUACUGGGUUCAUGUCCCAUGUUGGGCA
RNAcentral lists this transfer RNA (72 nucleotides) under Lepisosteus oculatus (spotted gar). It matches the Rfam family "tRNA". Rfam says of the family: Transfer RNA (tRNA) molecules are approximately 80 nucleotides in length. Their secondary structure includes four short double-helical elements and three loops (D, anti-codon, and T loops). Lineage: Eukaryota; Metazoa; Chordata; Actinopteri; Semionotiformes; Lepisosteidae. The record is from Rfam by way of RNAcentral.